Molecule: long non-coding RNA, 1327 nt
Filed under: Mytilus galloprovincialis (Mediterranean mussel)
Lineage: Eukaryota; Metazoa; Mollusca; Bivalvia; Mytilida; Mytilidae
Source: RNAcentral
CUCGUUAAGAGAUGGGUGAAGAAAGAGAUUUAAGUUAAAUGUACUUAUAACGGAUAUAUGUCAUCGGACUAACCAUCAUUAUCGACUAUAUAUUUCACAAAAUAACUUCUGUCAUUCUAAAAUUAGUAAGUGAUAAGACUCAUCAAGGUCAUCCUUUGUUUUUAACUUAUACAGAUGUACAUCUUAAUAUUGUUUGCAGUUUUCCACUUUGCAGUUCCACGACACAUUUGUAACCCAUGUGAUCCUCUAGAAAUACCAAUGCUUGAUUUAGUUAAGCAUGCUACAAUUUGUGGCGCAUGUGGGCAGUUCUAUGGAGAAAGUAUGGAGAACUGCUGCUUCUGUAACUCUGAUAUAAGACAACUAUGUAGUAUCGCUUACAACUGAAAUUCGACAUGACAGGAUAUCAGAAGAAACAGAACUUUGCGACGACAAGAAAACCACAAGAUCAGUUGAUUCCAUGCAGGCUGAAUAGUGAUUUUGAAAUCGUUCAAAUAUGAGCUGUGCCAAGGAUAAACUUAGUUAGUGUUUUAAAGUUAACUGUAUACACAUGAAAACAACAAUCUAACCAAGGCAAAAAUAACUCAUUAUUUUCUAACAAUUUACUUUUUUGUUCCUCAUAUAAAAGAUGAAAUAAAAUAUCACGGUGUUGCCUCAUUAAUCUGCAUUUUUCCCUAAUGUACAAGAUAUACUUCAAGCUUUUACUGACUAAUAAUAAUAUAGAUAUUGGUAAAAGCAAGUUAUUAUUCGAUGGAUAUGAAAACGCAUCACACGGUAAAGCAUGCUCACAUGUUGCUUGAUACAAAAUGUUAGCAAACUCUGAUAUAUAGUUUUUAAGGAAAAUGCGACGGAGAUAUCACGGAACGGACAGACGGACAACGGUAAGCUAGUUAACAAUCCCUAUUUCUUGUGGAUGAUAUUUUAAAAGGUUUUUAUAAUAAGUGAUGUUUGAGACUUGGAGAAGUAUUGCUGUAUCAUUUAUUUAAGUGAAAUGAUACGGUAAGUCGAUAGUCUUUCUGUACAAGGACUCAUUUUGGCACUCAUACCACAUCGUCUUAUAUCUUUAGGCUCUACAUUCACGAAAGUCAAUCGAGGAAAAUUGAUUAAACAUAGUCAAUAUGAGUUUAAGAGAAACAGAAACGGUUGUAUACCAAUAGUCCCAGAUAUUUUUUACAGAUUUUUCAAAUGAUGUUAAGACUAGUAACCCCAAACUGUCUCGCUCUCGAUAUUAAUAACCAUGCAACUCCUUCGUUUGAAAAUAUGAAAUCAACUUUUAUUUUGAAAUUUUAAGCAAAGUAAACAGCAAAAUUAAAAAGAACAUCAAUUAAAC